GCUCCACUGAUGACCUGCCCCUGCGUGGGGCAGAUGGCUGCCCUGGGGCGCCGCCUCGUUCUGCCCGGGGCAGCUGAGGUCUUUCAGGGCCGAGUUCACCUGCCUGAGCUGAGUGUUUCUACACUUUAACACCUGAGCACCUCCAGGCCCUGAUGGAGGAUGAACAGCCUGCUGAUGCCAGGAUGAGUUUCUUCAGUUCACAGUUAAAGGAGUCUGACUGACUGACCURGUAAAAAGGUGCUGGGCUGAAUCACUGAGCUGUAAGGAAACAUGCUGCCUUUCUCCAAAAGGCCUGCAGGCAGGAAAGCUGCAGAGUUUCUGCAGGCGCAGUGACAUGGAGACGUUCGGCGUUACAUGCAGCCAUGACGAGUCUGGAGACGUUGGUGUGUGGGACUGCUUCUCCUGCAACAGGGAGGGAGGAUUUCUGAUUACUGUCAGGAAUAACAGAGUUAUAAUGGCUGCUUGGAGGAACCUGGCUGCAGGAGGAGGCGACUUAUCAUGUGAUACUUUCUGGAACUUUCUCAGAAAUCACCGGCUGCAUGUUUUGUUCGAUAAAUUUGAGUAAAAACGUGUUUUAUUUGUCCGCAUGCUCAGAUGAGUUUUUCCUGCUGCUAACAGACGUUUCUGCACCA
This is a non-coding RNA of Poecilia reticulata (guppy), 632 nucleotides long. NCBI's taxonomy places the organism in Eukaryota, Metazoa, Chordata, Actinopteri, Cyprinodontiformes, Poeciliidae. The record is from RefSeq and is a predicted model, not a curated record.